GGUAGAUAUGAUGCGUUUGUGAAUUUAAUGGUGUAAAACAAUCCAAAUCUGAUGAAAUUUUUAUAGAAAAUUUUUUUUCACUAUUUAGAGUAAGAUCGGUACCUCUGAUCUUAAAUUCAAGUCUUUUAUCAUCAAUUUUUAUGAGAUUUUUAUUUCCAACCGUUCAUUUUUAGACUACUCGUUUGAUAGGUAAAUGAUGCCGAAAAAUUAUGAAAUUUAGUUUCCAAAUAUUUUCAAUAGUGUAGAUCAAAUUUAACGGAGCCGAUCAUCGAUUUGGAAGCCGCAUCAUUGAAAACAACUUGGUAGCACGGGGACCUCCGUGCUACUGAU
This 330-nucleotide long non-coding RNA is filed under the name Ananas comosus (pineapple). RNAcentral's name for it is "long non-coding RNA (ACOM_LNC024763)". The record is from RNAcentral. Lineage: Eukaryota; Viridiplantae; Streptophyta; Magnoliopsida; Poales; Bromeliaceae.